AAACUCAAAGGAAUUGACGGGACCGCACAAGCGGUGGAUGAUGUGGUUAAUUCGAUGCAACGCGAAAACCUUACCCACCUUUGACAUGUACGGAACCCUUUAGAGAUAGAGGGGUGCUCGAAAGAGAGCCGUAACACAGGUGCUGCAUGGCUGUCGUCAGCUCGUGUCGUGAGAUGUUGGGUUAAGUCCCGCAACGAGCGCAACCCUUAUCUUUAAUUGCCAGCAUUCAGUUGGGCACUUUAAAGAGACUGCCGGUGUUAAACCGGAGGAAGGUGGGGAUGACGUCAAGUCCUCAUGGCCCUUAUGUUCUGGGCUACACACGUGCUACAAUGGCCGGUACAGACGGACGCAAAGCCGCGAGGUGGAGCUAAUCCCAUAAAACCGAUCGUAGUCCGGAUCGCAGUCUGCAACUCGACUGCGUGAAGUCGGAAUCGCUAGUAAUCGUGAAUCAGAAUGUCCACGGUCGAAUACGUUCCGGGCCUU
RNAcentral lists this ribosomal RNA (483 nucleotides) under uncultured Lampropedia sp. RNAcentral's name for it is "bacterial SSU rRNA". It matches the Rfam family "Bacterial small subunit ribosomal RNA", at positions 897 to 1382 of the family's 1533-position model. The record is from RNAcentral. Lineage: Bacteria; Pseudomonadati; Pseudomonadota; Betaproteobacteria; Burkholderiales; Comamonadaceae.